This is a non-coding RNA of Clostridium autoethanogenum DSM 10061, 30 nucleotides long. The record is from Rfam. Lineage: Bacteria; Bacillati; Bacillota; Clostridia; Eubacteriales; Clostridiaceae.
AUUUAAAUACAUCUCAUGUUGAGGUUCAAC